AGUGAACGCUGGCGGUAGGCCUAACACAUGCAAGUCGAUCGGCAGCACAGUAAGAGCUUGCUCUUACGGGUGGCGAGUGGCGGACGGGUGAGGAAUACAUCGGAAUCUACUUUUUCGUGGGGGAUAACGUAGGGAAACUUACGCUAAUACCGCAUACGACCUACGGGUGAAAGCAGGGGAUCUUCGGACCUUGCGCGAUUGAAUGAGCCGAUGUCGGAUUAGCUAGUUGGCGGGGUAAAGGCCCACCAAGGCGACGAUCCGUAGCUGGUCUGAGAGGAUGAUCAGCCACACUGGAACUGAGACCCGGUCCAGACUCCGACGGGAGGCAGCAGUGGGGAAUAUUGGACAAUGGGCGCAAGCCUGAUCCAGCCAUACCGCGUGGUGAAGAAGGCCUUCGGGUUGUAAAGCCCUUUUGUUGGGAAAGAAAAGCAGCAGGUUAAUACCCCGCUGUUCUGACGGUACCCAAAGAAUAAGCACCGGCUAACUUCGUG
This 491-nucleotide ribosomal RNA is filed under the name uncultured bacterium. RNAcentral describes it as "partial 16S ribosomal RNA". It matches the Rfam family "Bacterial small subunit ribosomal RNA", at positions 29 to 507 of the family's 1533-position model. The record is from RNAcentral.